This 274-nucleotide ribosomal RNA is filed under the name uncultured bacterium. RNAcentral's name for it is "partial 16S ribosomal RNA". It matches the Rfam family "Bacterial small subunit ribosomal RNA", at positions 523 to 796 of the family's 1533-position model. The record is from RNAcentral.
AUACAGAGGGUGCGAGCGUUAAUCGGAAUUACUGGGCGUAAAGCGCGCGUAGGCGGAUAUUUAAGUCAGAUGUGAAAUCCCUGGGCUCAACCUAGGAACUGCAUUUGUAACUGGAUAUCUAGAGUAUGGUAGAGGUGAGUGGAAUUUCAGGUGUAGCGGUGAAAUGCGUAGAGAUCUGAAGGAACAUCAGUGGCGAAGGCGACUCACUGGGCCAUUACUGACGCUGAGGUGCGAAAGCGUGGGUAGCAAACAGGAUUAGAAACCCCAGUAGUCC